AUAGCAAAUCGUUAUUGCAUUUCCAUUAUUGACCUUCCAUUCCAGCUUUCAAAAUUUCCAAAUCCCGUACCCGUUUAUCGUUCAUCUUUAUCCAUAUUCCAUUCAAAAUUUAAAUGGUUAUCUCCGUCAAACGAUCCGGGCGAAGAUUGGGGAAUUACUCCUCUUAGCCAACCUUAAUCACUUUGACCCCGCAUUUGAACUCCUCACAUCGACUUCUACCUUAUUCCUUGUUAAACGCCGCCACAUCACCACCACACACCGUCACAGCGCCACCGUCUGCCACAACGAACCAGGGUCGCCACCACGGAUCACCACUCGCAUCCCGUUCAAUUCGGUUUGAUUCGAGAUCAGACGUGCGUAAACCAUGAAUAACCAUUGUUAUUCACCUCGAUUCAGUUAUGUAUGAUCAUCAUCUGAAGCGCUAAUCAUUGGACUCCGGCCAGCACCAUUUGGCAACUGAGGUUCGCGUACUCGUUAAAGACAAUUUGUUGUGGCUUUGCUUUGCUAAAUUAAGGUAACAUGGGAUGAUCUGGGAUUUCAGUGAGCGGCGUUAGGAAGUUGCUGGUCAAGAUUCUUUAUUUCAGUAAUGUAAUAAAUGUAAUUAGGAUAUUUUAUUUAAUGUUAUGGAUUGGUUUUUAGUUUUGA
Molecule: long non-coding RNA, 645 nt
Organism: Helianthus annuus (common sunflower)
Lineage: Eukaryota; Viridiplantae; Streptophyta; Magnoliopsida; Asterales; Asteraceae
Exons: 3
Source: RefSeq, a predicted model, not a curated record